GGGCGCGUAGCUCAGCGGCAGAGCGCCUCGUUGACAUCGAGGAGGUCGGUGGUUCAAAUCCACCCGCGCCCA
This 72-nucleotide transfer RNA is filed under the name Limimonas halophila. RNAcentral's name for it is "Rhodospirillaceae bacterium Ia16 tRNA". It matches the Rfam family "tRNA". Rfam says of the family: Transfer RNA (tRNA) molecules are approximately 80 nucleotides in length. Lineage: Bacteria; Pseudomonadati; Pseudomonadota; Alphaproteobacteria; Rhodospirillales; Rhodovibrionaceae. The record is from Rfam by way of RNAcentral.